UACGUAGGUGGCAAGCGUUGUCCGGAUUUACUGGGCGUAAAGGGUGCGUAGGUGGAUAUUUAAGUCAGAUGUGAAAUACCCGAGCUCAACUUGGGUGCUGCAUUUGAAACUGGAUAUCUAGAGUGCAGGAGAGGAAAGUGGAAUUCCUAGUGUAGCGGUGAAAUGCGUAGAGAUUAGGAAGAACACCAGCGGCGAAGGCGACUUUCUGGACUGUAACUGACACUGAGGCACGAAAGCGUGGGUAGCAAACAGG
Molecule: ribosomal RNA, 253 nt
Filed under: uncultured Clostridium sp.
Lineage: Bacteria; Bacillati; Bacillota; Clostridia; Eubacteriales; Clostridiaceae
Description: partial 16S ribosomal RNA
Rfam family: Bacterial small subunit ribosomal RNA
Source: RNAcentral